UACAGAGGUCUCAAGCGUUGUUCGGAUUCAUUGGGCGUAAAGCGUGCGUAGGUGGUUUGUUAAGUCUGAUGUGAAAGCCCUGGGCUCAACCUGGGAAUUGCAUUGGAUACUGGCAGGCUAGAGUGCGGUAGAGGAUGGCGGAAUUCCCGGUGUAGCAGUGAAAUGCGUAGAGAUCGGGAGGAACAUCUGUGGCGAAGGCGGCCAUCCGGACCAGCACUGACACUGAGGCACGAAAGCGUGGGGAGCAAACAGG
This 253-nucleotide ribosomal RNA is filed under the name uncultured bacterium. RNAcentral describes it as "partial 16S ribosomal RNA". It matches the Rfam family "Bacterial small subunit ribosomal RNA", at positions 524 to 776 of the family's 1533-position model. The record is from RNAcentral.